Molecule: long non-coding RNA, 381 nt
Organism: Mytilus trossulus (common blue mussel)
Lineage: Eukaryota; Metazoa; Mollusca; Bivalvia; Mytilida; Mytilidae
Exons: 3
Source: RefSeq, a predicted model, not a curated record
AGAGUAACACGUGAUGUUAGAUAACAUAAGGUAGCUAUAAAACAUCAGAUGUAAUGAUUUCAUUUGAUUUCAGAGCAGAACUUUUCGAAAGAUGGCUAACCGUUCAAUAUUGUUCCUUGUGACAGCAAUGGCAUUGAUAGUGCUGGUGUCAACUGUUUCAUUUCAACCCUCCGAAAUAGUUGCUGAAACCAAGAAAAUAAACAAAAUGCGUUUGUUCAAACGUCAAUCCGGGUGUUGCUGUCCUAUGUGCAUCGUUGGGUGUAGUUGCUGCUGUGGACCUCGAAAGAGAUAGAUUUUGUCCAAAGAAACUUAAAAUAUAAUUUUCGAACGAAAUGUUGUUAUUAUAUUUUUAUAAAUGAUAUACACUACAUGUUCUCUUAC